CUUAUGCGUUGUUGGGUAGGGGAGCGUUCUGUAAGCCUGUGAAGGUGUGCUGUGAGGCAUGCUGGAGGUAUCAGAAGUGCGAAUGCUGACAUAAGUAACGAUAAAGCGGGUGAAAAGCCCGCUCGCCGGAAGACCAAGGGUUCCUGUCCAACGUUAAUCGGGGCAGGGUGAGUCGACCCCUAAGGCGAGGCCGAAAGGCGUAGUCGAUGGGAAACAGGUUAAUAUUCCUGUACUUGGUGUUACUGCGAAGGGGGGACGGAGAAGGCUAUGUUGGCCGGGCGACGGUUGUCCCGGUUUAAGCGUGUAGGCUGGUUUUCCAGGCAAAUCCGGAAAAUCAAGGCUGAGGCGUGAUGACGAGGCACUACGGUGCUGAAGCAACAAAUGCCCUGCUUCCAGGAAAAGCCUCUAAGCAUCAGGUAACAUCAAAUCGUACCCCAAACCGACACAGGUGGUCAGGUAGAGAAUACCAAGGCGCUUGAGAGAACUCGGGUGAAGGAACUAGGCAAAAUGGUGCCGUAACUUCGGGAGAAGG
RNAcentral lists this ribosomal RNA (532 nucleotides) under Escherichia coli. RNAcentral's name for it is "partial 23S ribosomal RNA". It matches the Rfam family "Bacterial large subunit ribosomal RNA", at positions 1213 to 1746 of the family's 2925-position model. The record is from RNAcentral. Lineage: Bacteria; Pseudomonadati; Pseudomonadota; Gammaproteobacteria; Enterobacterales; Enterobacteriaceae.